GAUGAAGAACGUAGCGAAAUGCGAUAAGUAAUGUGAAUUGCAGAAUUCAGUGAAUCAUCGAGUCUUUGAACGCACAUUGCGCCCCCUGGUAUUCCGGGGGCAUGCCUGUCCGAGCGUCAUUGCUGCCCUCAAGCACGGCUUGUGUGUUGGGCUCCGCCCCCCUCCCGGGGGGCGGGCCCGAAAGGCAGCGGCGGCACCGCGUCCGGUCCUCGAGCGUAUGGGGCUUUGUCACCCGCUCUGUAGGCCCGGCCGGCGCCCGCCGGCGACCCCAAUCAAUCUUUCCAGGUUGACCUCGGAUCAGGUAGGGAUACCCGCUGAACUUAAGCAUAUCAAUAAGCGGAGGA
RNAcentral lists this unclassified non-coding RNA (344 nucleotides) under soil metagenome. RNAcentral's name for it is "partial contains 5.8S ribosomal RNA, internal transcribed spacer 2, and large subunit ribosomal RNA". The stretch from base 1 to 119 matches the Rfam family "5.8S ribosomal RNA", at positions 35 to 154 of the family's 154-position model. The record is from RNAcentral.